RNAcentral lists this unclassified non-coding RNA (719 nucleotides) under Triodia scintillans. RNAcentral's name for it is "partial external transcribed spacer". Lineage: Eukaryota; Viridiplantae; Streptophyta; Magnoliopsida; Poales; Poaceae. The record is from RNAcentral.
GGCUUCCUUGGGGACCUUCGCCGGGCAAGACGGAUGAGGRGGUUCACCACCGAUUCUAGGCAUCAGGACGUUGUGGCUAUCMUCAUUGGAAGGUCGCAUCAUCCCAAUGCCGGAAGAGGUGGUCGUGCUGUGACAACCGGCCUGAGAACGAAAAUUGUUGGAUACAACAGAAUCACGGUGUGCCCACCGUGUCACCGGCGAGAAGCAGUCUGGCGGCCGAAAGGCUGCUGGUUCUUCCACGUCGUUGGCGUAUGGGUGCAAACAAUAUGGGAUAUAUAGUGCCUGUUCUCGCGCUCUGUGGACUUUCGGUCGUCGUCCUCAUAGCAGACCCGUUGUGCUAAGCACGAUGGGAUGCUCGGGCUUCUUGACCGUUGUGGCUACGCUGGCGCAUGAGAUGUUGUGGACAUGUGGCUGCCUGGAGGCCCCCCGUCGUUGUGCGGCCGACUCCAGGUGCAGUGUCCUUUCAAUUGUAUGGGUUUCAAAACCUGUGUCGUUGACGAGUGCUUGCGUUCUGCUACCCGUUCUGCGGGAAGUAGAGCUUCGUACAACUUGCCUUCGUCGCGUGCGCCCUUUGGGYGUGUCGCGUCGAUCACCUAGCGCUUGCGGUGUUGCCUCGCGGCGUCAGCCAUCUAGGCCGGCAUCGUCUAGGACACCUCGCAAUCGCUCUUGGUCUCGGAUGAUGCUCACUGUAUAGGCUCGUGGCAUUUUGGUGCCUCGUU